GUCAUUUAACUGGCUUGUUGACCUUUCCAAGGCUUCCCCAGUCUUCACUUCACUUUCCAAAUUCACUUCACGAUUCUGAAUCACACUAGUAGCACGACCUUCUGCUCAAGUAAGUGACAACAUUAUCAAAAGUUAAUGAUUGCAUUCUCUUCAAUAUAUCCCGAAGCACAAAAUAUCAAGCACAUUAGAAGCUUGUUUAAAUUAAUCAUCGCCCUUUCAACCUUCUCGUCUUUCAAGGUUCUUCUGCUUCA
This 251-nucleotide unclassified non-coding RNA is filed under the name Hevea brasiliensis (rubber tree). Lineage: Eukaryota; Viridiplantae; Streptophyta; Magnoliopsida; Malpighiales; Euphorbiaceae. The record is from RNAcentral.